UAAAUAAGUAAGCUAAAUAAGCUAUUAGGUUCAUACCCUAAAAAUAGAAUUAUACUCUCUUAUUUAA
Molecule: transfer RNA, 67 nt
Filed under: Aphaenogaster famelica
Lineage: Eukaryota; Metazoa; Arthropoda; Insecta; Hymenoptera; Formicidae
Description: tRNA-Met
Source: RNAcentral